This 519-nucleotide ribosomal RNA is filed under the name Triticum aestivum (bread wheat). RNAcentral describes it as "partial small subunit ribosomal RNA". Lineage: Eukaryota; Viridiplantae; Streptophyta; Magnoliopsida; Poales; Poaceae. The record is from RNAcentral.
AUGGCCCUCAAACAUCCCUUUUUUGCACAGAAAGUUGCUGAGGUGUUCUUGGACAACGUAUACAAAUUGCAUGGGAUGCCAGAAUACAUAGUAUCUGAUAGAGAUCAUGUAUUUACUAGCAACUUCUGGCAAGCCCUUGUUCACAGAAUUGGGACUCGGCUCAACAUGAGUACUGCAUAUCACCCUGCAACUGAUGGGCAGACUGAGAGAGUCAACCAGCAAAUUGAAUGCUAUCUCAGAAGUUUUAUCAGUUCUCAUCCUUCUAAAUGGAGCAAAUGGUUGUCCCUGUGUGAGUUUUGGUAUAAUACAAAUUGGCAUUCAGCUGUUGGCAAGUCUCCUUUUGAGGUAUUGUAUGGUCAUUCCCCUAGAUAUUUUGGGAUUGCUGCCAGUGAUACUGUUGCUCCUGUGGACAUUCUUCAGUGGUUGCAAGAUAGGGAAGUUUUGGUGGCUUAUGUUAAACAACACCUGCUCCGAGCUCAACAGAGAAUGGAGCAUUUGGCUGACAAAAAACAGAACUGA